UUUACCUUCCACUCUACAAUGUCUGGAUUUUGAUUGUUUUGAAAGUGUUGCUGCGUAGAUCAGGGAGAUUCUGGGGUCAUAGUGGUGGUAUCUAACAUCUGGAUGGCAAACUCCCCCCAAAGGUAGCAUCCUAACUCGAAUAUAGGGGAAAUGUUCUUCAGCCUGGUGGGUUAGAUGUCGUCUGAGGGCAGCAGAAAGCCUUAUUUAGGCCGAGUUUUGGUCUGAAGGGUCGGCCUCUGGAGCUCAUGUUUCUGUUGUGGCUUCUUCUCUUACAGAAAGGAGAUGAAGGUGAGGAAGGCGUCACUAGCGAAGAGUUUGACAAAUUCCUUGAGGAGAGGGCCAAAGCUGCUGAGAUGACCCCCGGCGUACCAUCGCCCCCUGGCAGCAACCCCGGCGCAGCGCAGGGAACACCCAGCAGGAAGAAGCAGGAGAGACCGGAAGGUGCUCUGUUUGCCAUGUAGACUGUCAACCUUUGCCCCUCCCCCCAGACCCUGAACAGCAACGCCUGCAAUUGGACCUGUCCCCCGACCCAUCAUAGCACUACAUUGGCACAUGAGAAAGGCUAAAUCAAACAGAACCGGCGAGCAGGUGAUGGCUCCCAUCCGCAUGCCGAUUAGUUUCAGAGACGCUGGGGCUGCUUCUUCCUGGAUAGUUUCCUUUUAGGCCCGCUGUGGACUGCAGCUAAUGCUUUUUAGUUUCACUAAAACUUAAACAGGAUCCCUUAUAUUAGUUAUGCAGGACAUUUCUUUUUAGAUUCCUCCAGUCAGUGUUUGGUUUAAUUAUAGCUGACCAGUGCAGACUGCGCUCCUCAUCAGGGGAACCUGCACAUUAUGUUUUAGUGUUGCUUUCAGUCUCUGCAAACAAGUCUAAGUUGAUUUGUAAAUCUGUAAAUGGCAGAUGUUUGGUGUAUAUUUAAACUCCUUAUAUGGAAGAGAUGGUAAUUUAAUGUAGAUCUGUUCUUUUGUUUUUGGAAAGAGUUUAUGUUCUUAUCAGAUAUGUUUAAUAUCUCCAUGAUAGUCUGAGGAAAAAAAAAAAAAAAA
Cyprinodon variegatus (sheepshead minnow) is the source of this 1040-nucleotide long non-coding RNA. RefSeq lists it as uncharacterized. The record is from RefSeq and is a predicted model, not a curated record. Lineage: Eukaryota; Metazoa; Chordata; Actinopteri; Cyprinodontiformes; Cyprinodontidae. The transcript is spliced from 2 exons.